CGCUGGCGGCGCGCCUAACACAUGCAAGUCGAACGAGCGAGAGAGAGCUUGCUUUCUCAAGCGAGUGGCGAACGGGUGAGUAACGCGUGAGGAACCUGCCUCAAAGAGGGGGACAACAGUUGGAAACGACUGCUAAUACCGCAUAAGCCCACGACCCGGCAUCGGGUAGAGGGAAAAGGAGCAAUCCGCUUUGAGAUGGCCUCGCGUCCGAUUAGCUAGUUGGUGAGGUAAUGGCCCACCAAGGCGACGAUCGGUAGCCGGACUGAGAGGUUGAACGGCCACAUUGGGACUGAGACACGGCCCAGACUCCUACGGGAGGCAGCAGUGGGGAAUAUUGCACAAUGGGGGAAACCCUGAUGCAGCGACGCCGCGUGGAGGAAGAAGGUCUUCGGAUUGUAAACUCCUGUUGUUGAGGAAGAUAAUGACGGUACUCAACAAGGAAGUGACGGCUAACUACGUG
Molecule: ribosomal RNA, 460 nt
Filed under: uncultured bacterium
Lineage: Bacteria
Description: bacterial SSU rRNA
Rfam family: Bacterial small subunit ribosomal RNA
Source: RNAcentral